AUGGGCUGCCUGCUCGCCCUCACCGACGACCUCCUCGCGGAGGUCCUCGCCCGCGUACCAUCUCCGGCGGACCUCGCGCGCGCCUCCUCAUCCUGCGCCUCGCUCCACCGCGUGGCCACCUCCGCGCGGUUCCUCCGCCAGUUCCGCUCCCUCCACGCGCCGCCCCCGCUCGGCGUCUACUUCCCCGACGGCGCCGCCUUCUACCCGGCCCUCCCGCCGAACCCCGCGGCCCCCGCCGCUCGCGCGCUCGCCCUCGCCGCCGACUUCUCCUUCGCCUUCCUCCCGGCCCCCGCGCGCGCCUGGCUCGUGCGCGACCACCGCGACGGCCGCUUCCUCCUCGACCGCGCCGCGCCCGCCGGCUCCACGGCCUUCACCGAAAUCUCCGUCUGCGACCCGCUCUUCCGCCGCCACAUCCCGCUCCCGCCCAUCCCCGCCGACCUCGCCGCCUCCGUCGAGAACCCCUACCUCCAGCGCGGCGGGGACGAGGGGCUGCCGCACUCCCGCAGCAACGAGAUCUUCCUCGCUGCUCCCCGCCGCACUUCCGACAACGACAACAGCUCCUCGCCCCCCUUCGCCGUCAUCUGGAUGGCGUGCUGCCGGGGGAAGCUGGUGGCCUUCUCCUUCUCCUCCGAAUCUCAGCACUGGCACACCCUCUCACCACCCGUGCACCAGGCUCUGAGCAUGCGGAGAGUCAUGGGCGUUCGCCUGGGACAGCGCAACCACGCUCACGGCUGUUUCUACUGGAUGAUCACUCUCACGCGGAGGUGGCUCGUGCUGGACACCCGCAAAAUGGAGUUCUCCAUCCUCGACAUCUCGCCCGUCCUGCUAGGCCGCACCAUGAUGUUCAGCAACCAGAUCACCACCCUCGAGUCGGAACAAGGCAGGACUACCGUCGUGGUCUCGGACCUUUUCCGGACGGAUAAGAGAUGCGUCCUGUACUUCUACACGUUCAUGUCCUUCACUGACCGGUGGCAGCUGCAGCACAAAAUCACAUUGCCUGAGGAAUGGGGGGACCGGUUUCGGGGCAUCAUAGGAGCAUUUGAGCAGCGCUUAUUCAUAAAGCUUGAUCACCCAAAGGAGAACUUGGGAGAUCCGGUUGAGCAGAAUGUCACCUACUUUUGGUUCGACGUCAAAACUAUGGAGGUUGGUAGGUUCACUGAGAUUAGUUCUGCUACCGUCAACGAAGCCUACCUUUACACUGGAUUUGCCCCGUCACUCUCGCUUCCUAGCAUCUGAUGUGGUUCUAUGUUGAUAGGUUUGAUGGAUCUCUUACUGAUACACAAAGUUCUACUGUAUACCGAUUUCUGGAUUCGCGUGCUCCUUGCAGCAGGAGAAGGCAUCCUACUAACGGGAAUUUGACACCAUUGAGUUGCGGCAUGGCAACUGCUAGCUUACCAUCCAGUAACGAUGGCGGAAACAAGAGAAGAGGUAGACAUGAUCGCUGGGACAUUAACCCUACUGGAAGAACUAGAGCUCCAGUACCUCUUGGAAAUCCUCUGUUUCUAUACUAUGGCCCUAGCCCAGCAUGUCUCAUCCACCCAUAGGCUGCUCGGUUUACUGGCUUACGACUUCCCGCGGUAUCAAUGCUUGUGGAUGUGUGCGUGAUGCACAGUAACUCGAGAAUCUCUUCUGCUACUAGCCUGUUAAGUUUUUGCCAGAGGUUAUAAGGUGGAAAGAGGAUGCUGCCUUUUGGUUGUAGAUGGACUGAGAAGUUCUUGCUGUGCCGGGUAAGAUCAUUUGCGAGUAGUGGUGUUUGGAGAAGGGGACAGAAGAGGUUCAGGAUUGACGUUCGGCAUGACUCCAUUAUCCACAGUUCUGAGCUAUCAAUAGGGAAAGUUUUGGUUCCAAUACAGAUCAAUCUUGCUGGAAUAUUCAUUCUGCAUUUUCAGCCUGUGAUCAAGAACUACUUAAACAGUUGAAACCGAAGUGUGGUUCAACUUUCUUGGGCAUCCUAAAGAUCGUGCUAAGAUUUUGCUGAACAUAAGCUUGCAAGAUAAAUGAGCCAUUUGGAUCGUAUAAUUUUUCUGAAUUAAUUCAUUUUGAGCGGAAGGUGCAUUCCUACAAUCCUACACUAGGUGGCAUAAAGAAAAUUUGGGUUCCAGCGACUGCUGAAAAUGUUUCUAUUUUGCGAUUGCUGAAGAUGUGGAGGGGAAGAUAGGUGGCCAUAUAGAUGAUAAGGACGUGAUUUAAGAUGGAUGAACAGCCAGGCUCCUUGGCUACUACGGUCAAGCACUUAUUUUAGCAGCUUGCUUGGUUGGGAGGAACAGGGUUUUUUGAAAGGAGGUGGCAAAAUCUGCGUCGAUGUUGCUUGCGAGGGAAAAAAAUCUAUGUUAAUCCUUUACAGGUUGACCAAAUGCAGCUUAAGUACUUCGUACUAAUUUGUAUGAUCUGCUACUAUGUACUUUGUACUAAUCUCUAGCUCUUGCAAUUUGCGAAUCAGAACGAGAGAGAAGAAGUCUGCUCACCAGGCACAGCGCUCUGAUGACCUUGUCGCUGUACGCCUCCGGGUCCGACGCCUGCAUGUCCAGCAGGUCGCCGACCAUCGUCCUGC
Lolium rigidum is the source of this 2551-nucleotide RNA transcript. RefSeq lists it as uncharacterized. Lineage: Eukaryota; Viridiplantae; Streptophyta; Magnoliopsida; Poales; Poaceae. The transcript is spliced from 6 exons. The record is from RefSeq and is a predicted model, not a curated record.